This 492-nucleotide ribosomal RNA is filed under the name uncultured bacterium. RNAcentral describes it as "partial 16S ribosomal RNA". It matches the Rfam family "Bacterial small subunit ribosomal RNA", at positions 29 to 507 of the family's 1533-position model. The record is from RNAcentral.
AGUGAACGCUGGCGGUAGGCCUAACACAUGCAAGUCGAACGGCAGCACAGUAAGAGCUCGCUCUUACGGGUGGCGAGUGGCGGACGGGUGAGGAAUACAUCGGAAUCUACUUUUUCGUGGGGGAUAACGUAGGGAAACUUACGCUAAUACCGCAUACGACCUACGGGUGAAAGCAGGGGAUCUUCGGACCUUGCGCGAUUGAAUGAGCCGAUGUCGGAUUAGCUAGUUGGCGGGGUAAAGGCCCACCAAGGCGACGAUCCGUAGCUGGUCUGAGAGGAUGAUCAGCCACACUGGAACUGAGACACGGUCCAGACUCCUACGGGAGGCAGCAGUGUGGAAUAUUGGACAAUGGGCGCAAGCCUGAUCCAGCCAUACCGCGUGGGUGAAGAAGGCCUUCGGGUUGUAAAGCCCUUUUGUUGGGAAAGAAAAGCAGCAGGUUAAUACCCCGCUGUUCUGACGGUACCCAAAGAAUAAGCACCGGCUAACUUCGUG